Molecule: ribosomal RNA, 333 nt
Filed under: Symbiodinium sp. clade D
Lineage: Eukaryota; Dinophyceae; Suessiales; Symbiodiniaceae
Description: partial Eukaryotic large subunit ribosomal RNA
Rfam family: Eukaryotic large subunit ribosomal RNA
Source: RNAcentral
GUGAGCCGCUCCUAAGAGAUAGGGAAAUUCCGUUCUGAAGUGGGCAUUCUCGGAUGCCCCGCCUAUCGAAAGGGAACACGGUUAAUAUUCCGUGGCUGGGACGUGGAUAUGUGGUAACACAAACGAGCUUGGAGACGUCGGAGGGAACCCCAGGAAGAGUUCUCUUUUCUUGUUAACAGCUUCUUACCCUGGAAUCGAUUUACUCGGAGAUAGGGUUAAAUAGCUGGUAAAGCAUGCCAACUUUUGGCGUGUCUGGUGCGUUUCCGACGGCCCUUGAAAAUCCAAGUGAGAGUUUUAUUCGCACCCCCAGGCGUACUCAUAACCGCAUCAGGU